CCUACGGGCGGCAGCAGUGAGGAAUAUUGGUCAAUGGGCGCGAGCCUGAACCAGCCAAGUCGCGUGAGGGAAGACGGUCCUAUGGAUUGUAAACCUCUUUUGUCGGGGAGCAAAAGACGCCACGCGUGGCGUUCCGAGAGUACCCGAAGAAAAAGCAUCGGCUAACUCCGUGCCAGCAGCCGCGGUAAUACGGAGGAUUCAAGCGUUAUCCGGAUUUAUUGGGUUUAAAGGGUGCGUAGGCGGUCGGAUAAGUUAGAGGUGAAAUCCCGAGGCUCAACUUCGGAAUUGCCUCUGAUACUGUUCGGCUAGAGAGUAGUUGCGGUAGGCGGAAUGUAUGGUGUAGCGGUGAAAUGCUUAGAUAUGACGAAGAACCCCGAUUGCGAAGGCAGCUUGCUGCAGCGGAACUGACGCUGAUGCUCGAAAGCGCGGGUAUCGAACAGGAUUAGAUACCCCUGUAGUC
Molecule: ribosomal RNA, 460 nt
Filed under: uncultured bacterium
Lineage: Bacteria
Description: partial 16S ribosomal RNA
Rfam family: Bacterial small subunit ribosomal RNA
Source: RNAcentral